Molecule: ribosomal RNA, 497 nt
Filed under: uncultured bacterium
Lineage: Bacteria
Description: partial 16S ribosomal RNA
Rfam family: Bacterial small subunit ribosomal RNA
Source: RNAcentral
GAUGAACGCUGGCGGCGUGCCUAAUACAUGCAAGUCGAGCGAACAGACGAGGAGCUUGCUCCUCUGACGUUAGCGGCGGACGGGUGAGUAACACGUGGAUAACCUACCUAUAAGACUGGGAUAACUUCGGGAAACCGGAGCUAAUAACGGAUAAUAUAUUGAACCGCAUGGUUCAAUAGUGAAAGACGGUUUUGCUGUCACUUAUAGAUGGAUCCGCGCCGCAUUAGCUAGUUGGUAAGGUAACGGCUUACCAAGGCAACGAUGCGUAGCCGACCUGAGAGGGUGAUCGGCCACACUGGAACUGAGACACGGUCCAGACUCCUACGGGAGGCAGCAGUAGGGAAUCUUCCGCAAUGGGCGAAAGCCUGACGGAGCAACACCGCGUGAGUGAUGAAGGUCUUCGGAUCGUAAAACUCUGUUAUUAGGAAAGAACAAAUGUGUAAGUAACUAUGCACGUCUUGACGGUACCUAAUCAGAAAGCCACGGCUAACUACGUG